CACGCAAAGUCGGUGGUUCUAAUCCUGGUGUAGCCACAAUAAGAUCCGCACAGCUGUUAGGCCCUUGAGCAAGGCCCUUGAGCAAGGCCCUUAACCCUACAUUGGUCCAGGGGAGGAUUGUCUCUCUGGAUAAGAGCGUCUGCCAAAUGCCAAUAAUGUAAUGUAAUCUCCAGGAACAGGAUACCAGUUUGACAACUUGCAGUCUUUUCUGCAACCAUGUUUGUUACUCACCAUGAUAACAGAAGUUGGACAAUCUUAGCAACAUUGAAAAGGAACGGGAUGAACAAGCUCCUGCCAGGUCAGGAGAUCCAGGACAGCUUGAGGCACCACCUUCACCAGACCGGCCUGCAUGGCUACAAUCUGGAACAUGGACAGAAGCCAGUUCAUGCACAAGACAAUGGAAGCUGGACAGCACCAUCAAUCCACUAGGCAUUCCGUGACUACAAAUAACACAAACACAGUAGUCAGAACACAUGCAUGAACACAAGCGCACACACACACCUGCUCCCGGCUCUCCUCCAGCCUGGCCUUCCGCACCAGUCGGAGGAACUCCUUGCGGUCCUCGUAUUUGACCACGGUGCUGCCGCCGCCUGGGACCAGCUCCACCAGCUGACCGUCGCUCAGCAGGGUGGUGUAGGUCAGCUCCUGGCCAAACUUAAACUCAAAUGUCUCCUCGUCCAUGUUCUCCAUGGCCUCCAGCAGCUUCACCUGAGGAGGAAUGGCCACAGCUCCCAUCAGCCCAAACACACACUAUAGACUGGAAU
This is a long non-coding RNA of Conger conger (European conger), 764 nucleotides long. RefSeq lists it as uncharacterized. The record is from RefSeq and is a predicted model, not a curated record. The transcript is spliced from 3 exons. NCBI's taxonomy places the organism in Eukaryota, Metazoa, Chordata, Actinopteri, Anguilliformes, Congridae.